AGUAACGAUAAAGCGGGUGAAAAGCCCGCUCGCCGGAAGACCAAGGGUUCCUGUCCAACGUUAAUCGGGGCAGGGUGAGUCGACCCCUAAGGCGAGGCCGAAAGGCGUAGUCGAUGGGAAACAGGUUAAUAUUCCUGUACUUGGUGUUACUGCGAAGGGGGGACGGAGAAGGCUAUGUUGGCCGGGCGACGGUUGUCCCGGUUUAAGCGUGUAGGCUGGUUUUCCAGGCAAAUCCGGAAAAUCAAGGCUGAGGCGUGAUGACGAGGCACUACGGUGCUGAAGCAACAAAUGCCCUGCUUCCAGGAAAAGCCUCUAAGCAUCAGGUAACAUCAAAUCGUACCCCAAACCGACACAGGUGGUCAGGUAGAGAAUACCAAGGCGCUUGAGAGAACUCGGGUGAAGGAACUAGGCAAAAUGGUGCCGUAACUUCGGGAGAAGGCACGCUGAUAUGUAGGUGAAGUCCCUCGCGGAUGGAGCUGAAAUCAGUCGAAGAUACCAGCUGGCUGCAACUGUUUAUUAAAAACACAGCACUGUGCAAACACGAAAGUGGACGUAUACGGUGUGACGCCUGCCCGGUGCCGGAAGGUUAAUUGAUGGGGUCAGCGCAAGCGAAGCUCUUGAUCGAAGCCCCGGUAAACGGCGGCCGUAACUAUAACGGUCCUAAGGUAGCGAAAUUCCUUGUCGGGUAAGUUCCGACCUGCACGAAUGGCGUAAUGAUGGCCAGGCUGUCUCCACCCGAGACUCAGUGAAAUUGAACUCGCUGUGAAGAUGCAGUGUACCCGCGGCAAGACGGAAAGACCCCGUGAACCUUUACUAUAGCUUGACACUGAACAUUGAGCCUUGAUGUGUAGGAUAGGUGGGAGGCUUUGAAGUGUGGACGCCAGUCUGCAUGGAGCCGGCCUUGAAAUACCACCCUUUAAUGUUUGAUGUUCUAACGUUGACCCGUUAUCCGGGUUGCGGACAGUGUCUGGUGGGUAGUUUGACUGGGGCGGUCUCCUCCUAAAGAGUAACGGAGGAGCACGAAGGUUGGCUAAUCCUGGUCGGACAUCAGGAGGUUAGUGCAAUGGCAUAAGCCAGCUUGACUGCGAGCGUGACGGCGCGAGCAGGUGCGAAAGCAGGUCAUAGUGAUCCGGUGGUUCUGAAUGGAAGGGCCAUCGCUCAACGGAUAAAAGGUACUCCGGGGAUAACAGGCUGAUACCGCCCAAGAGUUCAUAUCGACGGCGGUGUUUGGCACCUCGAUGUCGGCUCAUCACAUCCUGGGGCUGAAGUAGGUCCCAAGGGUAUGGCUGUUCGCCAUUUAAAGUGGUACGCGAGCUGGGUUUAGAACGUCGUGAGACAGUUCGGUCCCUAUCUGCCGUGGGCGCUGGAGAACUGAGGGGGGCUGCUCCUAG
Molecule: ribosomal RNA, 1391 nt
Filed under: Escherichia coli
Lineage: Bacteria; Pseudomonadati; Pseudomonadota; Gammaproteobacteria; Enterobacterales; Enterobacteriaceae
Description: partial 23S ribosomal RNA
Rfam family: Bacterial large subunit ribosomal RNA
Source: RNAcentral